RNAcentral lists this long non-coding RNA (960 nucleotides) under Arachis ipaensis. Its description in RNAcentral is "long non-coding RNA (AIPA_LNC000460)". Lineage: Eukaryota; Viridiplantae; Streptophyta; Magnoliopsida; Fabales; Fabaceae. The record is from RNAcentral.
CUGCUGAAAAGGAACUAAAAAUACCGCCUCUGCAUAUUAAGGAAACAACUGAGGUGAGAUGGAUAAACUUGAUUGCUUGGGAACAGAGCAGGAUUUGGGUAAGAGGCAAGUACACUUCAUAUGCUUUCUUCUUCAAAAGUUUGAUAUCCUGCGAGCACGACCUUCACCUGCUCCAAAAAAAGGGAGUGAUAGUGAAUAAUAUGCCCAAUAAAAGCAAGGAAGAACUUAUGACGAUGUUUCGCACAAUCUGUGCUGGUGCUGAACACAUGGAUUCGAGUUAUAGCGAACACUGUGAGAAACUUAAUAAGGAGAAACGACCUACAUUAGUCACGGAAGCGUUCUGCAAAUGGCCUAUAAUCACUGGGCAUAACUGCAGGCAUCUUCUUGAGAAUGUUGUGUACUAUGGGCGAAAUGGCUUCAGGAUUUUGAUACGCGAUCAUAUCCCUACUGUGUGGAAAUUCAUUGCCGUUGUCGCGGCCACUUUGGUGGUGGUUCUCACUAUUAUGCAGACAGUUUAUUCAGCUAAGCAGACGCAUUAUGCAGCUAAAGGCCAUUAGACAUCAGCUAGAAAAAAUUGCUAAUUCUAUCUCUCUCUUGUUUGUUCAAGUUUAAAAUUGAAUGCACAAUUGUGAUGUAGGAGCUUGUAUGUGUUCAUGGAAUAGAUUUGGAAUCAUGUUGAACAUUGCAGUAGUUUUGCCACCUUGUGAAUUUGGAUUAGUGUUUGCAGCACAUUUCAGAAUCAAUAAUUGGUUUAGGGUUUGAGAUUAAUGAACCGGAAUUACCAAAAAUAUUUUAGAAUUAUCAGUGUUAUAAUAUAGAUGAUGUAAAAUCCCUACAAUACCCUUAUUCAUCUUUUUCCCAAACAAAACCCUAACCCUAAUUUCCUAAAUUCCUAUUUAUGGGAUCAAUUGUUGUAAGAAUCUACUUAUCACACUUUUCGUCAUAUAUAUUGUCCUUCCC